AAAAUCCUACGGGGCGCAGCAGUGGGGAAUAUUGCACAAUGGGGGAAACCCUGAUGCAGCGACGCCGCGUGAGUGAAGAAGUAUUUCGGUAUGUAAAGCUCUAUCAGCAGGGAAGAUAAUGACGGUACCUGACUAAGAAGCCCCGGCUAACUACGUGCCAGCAGCCGCGGUAAUACGUAGGGGGCAAGCGUUAUCCGGAUUUACUGGGGGUAAAGGGUGCGAAGGUGGCAGGGCAAGUCAGAUGUGAAAGCCCG
Molecule: ribosomal RNA, 254 nt
Filed under: uncultured bacterium
Lineage: Bacteria
Description: partial 16S ribosomal RNA
Rfam family: Bacterial small subunit ribosomal RNA
Source: RNAcentral